Molecule: ribosomal RNA, 620 nt
Filed under: Alcaligenes phenolicus
Lineage: Bacteria; Pseudomonadati; Pseudomonadota; Betaproteobacteria; Burkholderiales; Alcaligenaceae
Description: bacterial SSU rRNA
Rfam family: Bacterial small subunit ribosomal RNA
Source: RNAcentral
GCGCGAGAGAGCUUGCUCUCUUGGCGGCGAGUGGCGGACGGGUGAGUAAUAUAUCGGAACGUGCCCAGUAGCGGGGGAUAACUACUCGAAAGAGUGGCUAAUACCGCAUACGCCCUACGGGGGAAAGGGGGGGAUCGCAAGACCUCUCACUAUUGGAGCGGCCGAUAUCGGAUUAGCUAGUUGGUGGGGUAAAGGCUCACCAAGGCAACGAUCCGUAGCUGGUUUGAGAGGACGACCAGCCACACUGGGACUGAGACACGGCCCAGACUCCUACGGGAGGCAGCAGUGGGGAAUUUUGGACAAUGGGGGAAACCCUGAUCCAGCCAUCCCGCGUGUAUGAUGAAGGCCUUCGGGUUGUAAAGUACUUUUGGCAGAGAAGAAAAGGUAUCCCCUAAUACGGGAUACUGCUGACGGUAUCUGCAGAAUAAGCACCGGCUAACUACGUGCCAGCAGCCGCGGUAAUACGUAGGGUGCAAGCGUUAAUCGGAAUUACUGGGCGUAAAGCGUGUGUAGGCGGUUCGGAAAGAAAGAUGUGAAAUCCCAGGGCUCAACCUUGGAACUGCAUUUUUAACUGCCGAGCUAGAGUAUGUCAGAGGGGGGUAGAAUUCCACGUGUAGCAG